Molecule: long non-coding RNA, 297 nt
Filed under: Callithrix jacchus (white-tufted-ear marmoset)
Lineage: Eukaryota; Metazoa; Chordata; Mammalia; Primates; Cebidae
Description: lncRNA (ENSCJAG00000077483.1)
Source: RNAcentral
AAGUGCUCUAAUAUCAUUUCUGUGUGCUGGGUUGCGCACCCAUCAUGUUUUGGGAAAGAUCCUUUAGUGGAAUCUCCUGGUUCUACAAAUAAGAAACUGGAAUGUGGCAUUGUGGAAGCUGAGAAGUCUGGGGUCAAGAGGGCUGUGUCUGGUGAGAGUCUUCGUGCUGGUGGGGACUCUGCUGAAUCCCGAGGCCAUGCAGGCCAUCCCAUGGGAGAGGACCCCUCAGCUGAGUCACCAGGACUGCAGGAAGACACAUUUCAGAAAGUUCCAGGACAGGCACACAAGACUCCAAGC